AGUAAAAGUCGUAACAAGGUUUCCGUAGGUGAACCUGCGGAAGGAUCAUUAGCGAAGUCUGGAAUGCGUGUUAGGUGCUGAGCUGCCCGGCGACGGGAUGUGCUCGCCCUGAUGCGUGUCCCUUCUCUAUCCACCCCACUGUGAACCAAGUGUGUGAGCCGAAGAGAGAUCGGAAGCUCGCAUGCAACCUUUAACAUACCCCUACGAAGUAUCAGAAUGUACCUUGCGUUAACUCGCACAAAUAUAACUUUCAACAACGGAUCUCUUGGCUCUCGCAUCGAUGAAGAACGCAGCGAAAUGCGAUAAGUAAUGUGAAUUGCAGAAUUCAGUGAAUCAUCGAAUCUUUGAACGCACCUUGCGCCCUUUGGCAUUCCGAAGGGCACGCCUGUUUGAGUGUCGUGAACUCCUCCACCCUCCACCUUUUUCGGAAGGCGUCGGGCUGGGAUUUGGGAGCUUGCGGGUCCCUGGCCGAUCCGCUCUCCUUGAAUACAUUAGCGAAGCCCUUGCGGCCUUGGUGUGAUAGUCAUCUACGCCUCGGCUUAGCGAACAUAGGGGACUUGCUUCCAACCGUCUCGAAAGGGACAACUACUACGAACUUGACCUCAAAUCAGGCGGGACUACCCGCUGAACUUAAGCAUAUCAAUAAGCGGAGGA
This 654-nucleotide ribosomal RNA is filed under the name uncultured fungus. Its description in RNAcentral is "eukaryotic LSU rRNA". The stretch from base 246 to 399 matches the Rfam family "5.8S ribosomal RNA". The record is from RNAcentral. Lineage: Eukaryota; Fungi.